Cyprinus carpio carpio is the source of this 824-nucleotide long non-coding RNA. The record is from Ensembl. NCBI's taxonomy places the organism in Eukaryota, Metazoa, Chordata, Actinopteri, Cypriniformes, Cyprinidae.
GCCCUCCAGAUGGGCUAUGGCCGGGAAGAGGUCAGGGAGCAAGGGGGCCACGGGGAUCCGGGGCGUGGGACUCGGGCCCCGGCCUGAGUCUUAGGUAUCCGUAGCGCCCUCCUUCUUCCUCCUCUUCGCUGAAUACAGCUCACGGUAAGUACUGGUUCACACAGUUCGUUCUCGAGGUGCUCACUCUCUUUCUCUUCCUCCACAGGCAACGGCUGGGACACAAAAGCACAGUUAGUUCAGCUUGGUUUUGCUCUCACCUCUUCGCUGAUUACAGCUCACAGUAAGUACUGGUUCACACAGUUCGUUCCUUGGGUGCUCACUCGCUUUCUCUUUCUCCACAGGCAGCGGCGUAAGUACAGGUUUCCUCGGUCUCUCCUCGUGUUACCCACUCUCUCUCCUUUUCUCUCCACAGGUAUCAACUUGGACACAAAGCACAGUUACUCUGCUUUGGAUGGCUUUCACCUCUGGGCUGGACACAGCGUACCGUGCUAUCUCCGGAGAUCUGAAGCACGCUCACAACAUAUACUGUACUGAACUAGGCUAGGACCAGCAGUCUCCUUGUCCUCCCGCGACGAAGUGCGUGAAGGCGGGGGUUUAUCUGACAGGACACACGGCAAUACACAGCAGCCCACAGCAAUAUACAACACCACGUCAAAAUUAUAGGUUUUCACAGCACGAAGACUCACCCACCACACUCAGUGUACGAAAAGGACACCCGUCUUCCUUCACUUCGCUUGGUUCGGAUCUGGCGAUGGAAUAUGCGGCCUAGCUAGUGAUGUCGUCGUUGUGACUACUUCAAUAAGUAUUCCUUCGGCUCUCCCACC